UACGUAGGGUGCAAGCGUUAUCCGGAUUUAUUGGGCGUAAAGGGCUCGUAGGCGGUACGUCGCGUCCGGUGUGAAAGUCCAUCGCUUAACGGUGGAUCCGCGCCGGGUACGGGCGGGCUUGAGUGCGGUAGGGGAGACUGGAAUUCCCGGUGUAACGGUGGAAUGUGUAGAUAUCGGGAAGAACACCAAUGGCGAAGGCAGGUCUCUGGGCCGUUACUGACGCUGAGGAGCGAAAGCGUGGGGAGCGAACAGG
RNAcentral lists this ribosomal RNA (253 nucleotides) under uncultured bacterium. Its description in RNAcentral is "partial 16S ribosomal RNA". It matches the Rfam family "Bacterial small subunit ribosomal RNA", at positions 524 to 776 of the family's 1533-position model. The record is from RNAcentral.